This 425-nucleotide ribosomal RNA is filed under the name uncultured bacterium. RNAcentral's name for it is "bacterial SSU rRNA". It matches the Rfam family "Bacterial small subunit ribosomal RNA", at positions 356 to 773 of the family's 1533-position model. The record is from RNAcentral.
GGGGAAUAUUGGACAAUGGGGGGAACCCUGAUCCAGCCAUGCCGCGUGUGUGAAGAAGGUCUUAGGAUUGUAAAGCACUUUAAGUUGGGAGGAAGAGCAGUUAACUAAUAUUUGACUGUUUUGACGUUACCGACAGAAUAAGCACCGGCUAACUUCGUGCCAGCAGCCGCGGUAAUACGAAGGGUGCAAGCGUUAAUCGGAAUUACUGGGCGUAAAGCGCGCGUAGGUGGUUCAGUAAGUUAGGAGUGAAAGCCCCGGGCUUAACCUGGGAAUUGCUUCUAAAACUGCUGAGCUAGAGUACGGUAGAGGGUGGUGGAAUUUCCUGUGUAGCGGUGAAAUGCGUAGAUAUAGGAAGGAACAUCAGUGGCGAAGGCGACCACCUGGACUGAUACUGACACUGAGGUGCGAAAGCGUGGGGAGCAAAC